Molecule: ribosomal RNA, 497 nt
Filed under: uncultured bacterium
Lineage: Bacteria
Description: partial 16S ribosomal RNA
Rfam family: Bacterial small subunit ribosomal RNA
Source: RNAcentral
GAUGAACGCUGGCGGCGUGCCUAAUACAUGCAAGUCGAGCGAACAGACAAGGAGCUUGCUCCUCUGACGUUAGCGGCGGACGGGUGAGUAAAACGUGGAUAACCUACCUAUAAGACUGGGAUAACUUCGGGAAACCGGAGCUAAUACCGGAUAAUAUAUUGAACCGCAUGGUUCAAUAGUGAAAGACGGUUUUGCUGUCACUUAUAGAUGGAUCCGCGCCGCAUUAGCUAGUUGGUAAGGUAACGGCUUACCAAGGCAACGAGGCGUAGCCGACCUGAGAGGUGGAUCGGCGACACUGGAACUGAGACACGGGCCAGACUCCAACGGGAGGCAGCAGUAGGGAAUCGUCCGCAAUGGGCGAAAGGCUGACGGAGCAACGCCGCGUGAGUGAUGAAGGUCUUCGGAUCGUAAAACGCUGUUAUUAGGGAAGAACAAAUGUGUAAGUAACUAUGCACGUCUUGACGGUACCUAAUCAGAAAGCCACGGCUAACUACGUG